This 94-nucleotide transfer RNA is filed under the name Nitrososphaerota archaeon. RNAcentral's name for it is "tRNA-OTHER". It matches the Rfam family "tRNA". Rfam says of the family: Transfer RNA (tRNA) molecules are approximately 80 nucleotides in length. Their secondary structure includes four short double-helical elements and three loops (D, anti-codon, and T loops). Lineage: Archaea; Thermoproteati; Nitrososphaerota. The record is from RNAcentral.
GGGCCGGUCGUUCAGCCUGGUCUAGGACGUCAGAGCAAGACUCCGUCAAGCUCUUACACAGCGAAGGUCAAGGGUUCGAAUCCCUUCCGGCCCA